GAUGAACGCUAGCUACAGGCUUAACACAUGCAAGUCGAGGGGUAGCAGGGUAGCAAUACCGCUGACGACCGGCGCACGGGUGAGUAACACGUAUCCAACCUUCCCAUAACUCGGGGAUAGCCUUUCGAAAGAAAGAUUAAUACCCGAUAGUACUUUUUCAAGGCAUCUUGAGAAAGUUAAAGAUUUAUUGGUUAUGGAUGGGGAUGCGUUCCAUUAGAUAGUUGGUGAGGUAACGGCUCACCAAGCCUUCGAUGGAUAGGGGUUCUGAGAGGCAGGUCCCCCACAUUGGUACUGAGACACGGACCAAACUCCUACGGGAGGCAGCAGUGAGGAAUAUUGGUCAAUGGGCGAGAGCCUGAACCAGCCAAGUAGCGUGAAGGAUGAAGGUCCUAUGGAUUGUAAACUUCUUUUAUAGUAGAAUAAAGUGAUCCACGUGUGGAUUUUUGUAUGUAUACUAUGAAUAAGGAUCGGCUAACUCCGUGCCAGCAGCCGCGGUAA
RNAcentral lists this ribosomal RNA (498 nucleotides) under uncultured bacterium. RNAcentral describes it as "partial 16S ribosomal RNA". It matches the Rfam family "Bacterial small subunit ribosomal RNA", at positions 28 to 523 of the family's 1533-position model. The record is from RNAcentral.